This 431-nucleotide ribosomal RNA is filed under the name uncultured bacterium. RNAcentral describes it as "partial 16S ribosomal RNA". It matches the Rfam family "Bacterial small subunit ribosomal RNA", at positions 29 to 507 of the family's 1533-position model. The record is from RNAcentral.
AACGAACGCUGGCGGCAGGCCUAACACAUGCAAGUCGAGCGCCCUUUCGGGGGAGCGGCGGACGGGUGAGUAACGCGUGGGAAUAUGCCCUUCUCUACGGAAUAGCCUCGGGAAACUGAGAGUAAUACCGUAUACGCCCUGUGGGGGAAAGAUUUAUCGGGGAAGGAUUAGCGCGCGUUGGAUUAGGUAGUUGGUGGGGUAAUGGCCUACCAAGCCGACGAUCCAUAGCUGGUAUGAGAGGAUGAUCAGCCACACUGGGACUGAGACACGGCCCAGACUCCUACGGGAGGCAGCAGUGGGGAAUCUUAGACAAUGGGGGCAACCCUGAUCUAGCCAUGCCGCGUGAGUGAUGAAGGCCUUAGGGUUGUAAAGCUCUUUCAGCUGGGAAGAUAAUGACGGUACCAGCAGAAGAAGCCCCGGCUAACUCCGUG